Molecule: ribosomal RNA, 253 nt
Filed under: uncultured bacterium
Lineage: Bacteria
Description: partial 16S ribosomal RNA
Rfam family: Bacterial small subunit ribosomal RNA
Source: RNAcentral
UUCCUACGGGGCGCAGCAGUGGGGAAUAUUGCACAAUGGGGGAAACCCUGAUGCAGCGACGCCGCGUGAGUGAAGAAGUAUUUCGGUAUGUAAAGCUCUAUCAGCAGGGAAGAAGUUGACGGUACCUGAGUAAGAAGCCCCGGCUAACUACGUGCCAGCAGCCGCGGUAAUACGUAGGGGGCAAGCGUUAUCCGGAUUUACUGGGUGUAAAGGGAGCGUAGACGGCAGUGCAAGUCUGAAGUGAAAGCCCCGG